UGGGGAAUUUUGGACAAUGGGCGAAAGCCUGAUCCAGCAAUGCCGCGUGUGUGAAGAAGGCCUUCGGGUUGUAAAGCACUUUUGUCCGGAAAGAAAUCCUUGGCUCUAAUACAGUCGGGAGAUGACGGUACCGGAAGAAUAAGCACCGGCUAACUACGUGCCAGCAGCCGCGGUAAUACGUAGGGUGCAAGCGUUAAUCGGAAUUACUGGGCGUAAAGCGUGCGCAGGCGGUUUGCUAAGACCGAUGUGAAAUCCCCGGGCUCAACCUGGGAACUGCAUUGGUGACUGGCAGGCUAGAGUAUGGCAGAGGGGGGUAGAAUUCCACGUGUAGCAGUGAAAUGCGUAGAGAUGUGGAGGAAUACCGAUGGCGAAGGCAGCCCCCUGGGCCAAUACUGACGCUCAUGCACGAAAGCGUGGGGAGCAAAACAGGAUUAGAUACCCUGGUAGUCCACGCCCUAAACGAUGUCAACUAGUUGUUGGGGAUUCAUUUCCUUAGUAACGUAGCUAACGCGUGAAGUUGACCGCCUGGGGAGUACGGUCGCAAGAUUAAAACUCAAAUGAAUUGACGGGGUCAUAGCUGUUUCCU
This 586-nucleotide ribosomal RNA is filed under the name uncultured bacterium. RNAcentral describes it as "partial 16S ribosomal RNA". It matches the Rfam family "Bacterial small subunit ribosomal RNA", at positions 355 to 1375 of the family's 1533-position model. The record is from RNAcentral.